RNAcentral lists this ribosomal RNA (380 nucleotides) under uncultured prokaryote. RNAcentral's name for it is "bacterial SSU rRNA". It matches the Rfam family "Archaeal small subunit ribosomal RNA", at positions 341 to 725 of the family's 1478-position model. The record is from RNAcentral.
GCGAAAACUUUGCAAUGCGAGCAAUCGUGACAAGGGAACUCCGAGUGCCUGUAAAAUCGGGCUGUCCGCCAGUGUAAAUAACUGGCGAAGAAAGGGCCGGGCAAGACCGGUGCCAGCCGCCGCGGUAAUACCGGCGGCUCGAGUGGUGGCCACUAUUACUGGGCUUAAAGCGUUCGUAGCUGGCCUGUUAAGUCUCUGGGGAAAUCUUCAGGCUCAACCGGAAGGCGUCUCAGGGAUACUGGCAGGCUAGGGACCGGAAGAGGUGAGAGGUACUCCAGGGGUAGGAGUGAAAUCCUGUAAUCCUUGGGGGACCACCUAUGGCGAAGGCGUCUCACCAGGACGGCUCCGACAGUGAGGAACGAAAGCUGGGGGAGCAAGCC